RNAcentral lists this long non-coding RNA (740 nucleotides) under Betta splendens (Siamese fighting fish). Its description in RNAcentral is "lncRNA (ENSBSLG00000022812.1)". The record is from RNAcentral. Lineage: Eukaryota; Metazoa; Chordata; Actinopteri; Anabantiformes; Osphronemidae.
GACUGUGAGGUAGAUGGUGGUGUAGGCUCCUUCUGCUGGAUUAUCAACAACCUAAAGGUCUUGAUUAUGUCCACAAGAGGCUGGUUUAUGCACCUUAUGAUCAUAGUAUUGGACAAACCAGGCUCCACAGCAUAAGGAAUUACACCCACAUCUGGAGGCAAAGGAGUGAAUGCGUGAGUUUUAAAUGUUGAACAGAGUGAAUGAACUAGAAUAAACCAAAGAAAAUGCCUGACAUACAUUUUGAUUAUAGCUCAAAGGCACCAGAUAUAAUUCAUUGGUACAAAUUUUUGAUCACAGGAACCAUCUUUUAGCUGCAAUAGACAUAGACUGCUAGGGGACUUAAUUUAUACAGUGAGCUCAUCUGGUCCCUACCUCCUCUGUCCCAUAACCUGGAUCCAACCAUCCUGCCUGUAUCCAGUCCCUGGUCCAACCAUCCUGCCUGUGCUCUGUUGUUGCUUGUUGCUGUUGCUGUGCUUUUCUCUCUAUCCUCUCACCCCAACCGGUCGAGGCAGAUGGCUGCCCACAUCCAGUCUGGUUCUGCUGGAGGUUUCUUCCUCGUUAGAGAGGGAGUUUUUCCUCUCCACUGUUGCUGUCAAAUUAAAUGCUUGCUGUAUGUGGGAUUUGUUGGGUUUAGUUGUGUGAGGUUUUAAACCUUACUUUGUAAUGUGCCUUGAAAUAACUUUGUUGUGAUUUGGCGCUAUAUAAAUAAAAUUGAAUUGAAUUGAAUUGAAUAAGCGCUU